Molecule: ribosomal RNA, 434 nt
Filed under: uncultured bacterium
Lineage: Bacteria
Description: partial 16S ribosomal RNA
Rfam family: Bacterial small subunit ribosomal RNA
Source: RNAcentral
AGCGAACGCUGGCGGCAGGCUUAACACAUGCAAGUCGAGCGGGCAUAGCAAUAUGUCAGCGGCAGACGGGUGAGUAACGCGUGGGAACGUACCUUUUGGUUCGGAACAACACAGGGAAACUUGUGCUAAUACCGGAUAAGCCCUUACGGGGAAAGAUUUAUCGCCGAAAGAUCGGCCCGCGUCUGAUUAGCUAGUUGGUGAGGUAAUGGCUCACCAAGGCGACGAUCAGUAGCUGGUCUGAGAGGAUGAUCAGCCACAUUGGGACUGAGACACGGCCCAAACUCCUACGGGAGGCAGCAGUGGGGAAUAUUGGACAAUGGGCGCAAGCCUGAUCCAGCCAUGCCGCGUGAGUGAUGAAGGCCCUAGGGUUGUAAAGCUCUUUUGUGCGGGAAGAUAAUGACGGUACCGCAAGAAUAAGCCCCGGCGAACUUCGG